GUCGGGAUAGCUCAGCCGGUAGAGCAGA
This 28-nucleotide transfer RNA is filed under the name Fagus crenata (Japanese beech). RNAcentral describes it as "partial trnF (GAA)". The record is from RNAcentral. Lineage: Eukaryota; Viridiplantae; Streptophyta; Magnoliopsida; Fagales; Fagaceae. RNAcentral also lists the same sequence under 1 other name.